AAUUUCACUUAACGGUUUUAUAUGCUAACAUAUUACUUAAAUGUUACAUCGAAGUGAUCAAUAGGAGAUGAUUGAAUGUGUGAAGAUGAAAUAAAUUACUCUUAGUGGGGGUUCCUAUCCAGUUUCAUGGUCUAGCUAACCAUGUACACCAAGUUUUACCCCCGUAAAACUCAACCUCCCUCUUAUCAAAAAUUUUAUAUCACAUUACUAUUAUUGCCAAUGUGCCAUAUCAUCUAAUAAGAUUGGAACCCUCACAGAACUCCCACGGAGACCGGUAUAAGUGCUAGGUAGAGAAAUGGAAGGACAGAUUAAUUAAUUGAGUAGGAGAGAGCUAGAAAGCACAAUGGGAAGGGGGUGGAGGCUGGUGGAGUAGGGAGUGAUAACACCAUUUGUGGGCUCCUUAGUGGAUCAUAAAUUAAUAUAAUGAUGAUUGUAAUGCUGAUUUGGAGGGAAAAAAAGAGUUAGGGAGUGCUGUAUACAUGCGUGCAUGGAGGGACAGCUGGUCGUACGAGGAUGGGAG
Molecule: long non-coding RNA, 520 nt
Filed under: Oryza brachyantha (malo sina)
Lineage: Eukaryota; Viridiplantae; Streptophyta; Magnoliopsida; Poales; Poaceae
Description: long non-coding RNA (OBRA_LNC002942)
Source: RNAcentral